Molecule: transfer RNA, 65 nt
Filed under: Chaetopleura apiculata
Lineage: Eukaryota; Metazoa; Mollusca; Polyplacophora; Chitonida; Chaetopleuridae
Description: tRNA-Phe
Rfam family: tRNA
About the family: Transfer RNA (tRNA) molecules are approximately 80 nucleotides in length. Their secondary structure includes four short double-helical elements and three loops (D, anti-codon, and T loops).
Source: RNAcentral
GAUUAUAUAGCUUAUAUAAUAGAGCACAACAUUGAAGAUGUUAAGGAGUUAUUUUACUAUAAUCA